UGUACGUAUCCUACUUCACUUGGCUUGUUUUCUAGUGUAUCCAUCAUAUCAAUCCAUUGAUUACAGUUGGAUAUGCAUAUAUGGUCUAUAAAUAAGAGCAGCGUAGAGAAGGUUUAAUUGCACUAUCAACUCCCGAAAUGAAGUCCACUCUACUUAUAAUCUCCCUUCUCUUGGCGUCCACACUUUUCCUUCCUUCUUCCAUUUUAGCUAGACAAUUAUCUGUAAUGGUGCAGCCAAACCUGAUCUUGAUGAGGGACCCGUGACUGGAGGAACCGGCAAUCCAAACAAGCCAGCACUGCCAUGUCGUCCUGCUGUUCCCUAUAGUAAAUGUCUGAACCUCCCCCCAAAAUCAAAACCACCGGCCUGAAGGUGUUUGAGAUAAGAAGCUGCAUGGUUGAUCGUCGACAGCAUGCAGUACUGCUUAAUAAGAUGAAGUAGGUUUUGUACGUCUAAUAUAUAUAUCGUUUUUGGGGUUUCUGUGGCUUAUUAAUUCUGAUUGCUUUUAUAUAUAUGCACUCAGAAUUAAACCUA
Molecule: long non-coding RNA, 531 nt
Organism: Alnus glutinosa
Lineage: Eukaryota; Viridiplantae; Streptophyta; Magnoliopsida; Fagales; Betulaceae
Exons: 2
Source: RefSeq, a predicted model, not a curated record